Small nuclear RNA from Peromyscus maniculatus bairdii (prairie deer mouse), 104 nucleotides. Lineage: Eukaryota; Metazoa; Chordata; Mammalia; Rodentia; Cricetidae. The record is from Ensembl.
AUACUCGCUUGGGCAGCACAUAUACUAAAAUUGGAACAAUACAGAGAUUAGCAGAGUCCCUGUGCAAGGAUGACAGGCAAAUUUUUGAAGUGUUGCAUUUUUUU